AGCAGCCGCGGUAAUUCCAGCUCCAAUAGCGUAUAUUAAAGUUGUUGCAGUUAAAAAGCUCGUAGUUGAAUUUCAGGCCUGGCUGGACGGUCCGCCCUCUGGGUGAGAACUGUCUGUGGUCGGGUCCUACCUUCUGGCGAAGCGUCAUGGCCUUAACCGGCCGUGGCGGGGAACCAGGACUUUUACUGUAGAAAAAUUGAGUGUUCAAAGCAGGCAAUCGCUUGAAUACAUUAGCAUGGAAUAAUGGAAUAGGACAGUGGUUCUAUUUGUUGGUUUCUAGGACCGUUGUAAUGAUUAAUAGGGAUAGUUGGGGGCAUUAGUAUUCAAUUGUCAGAGGUGAAAUUCUUGGAUUUAUUGAAGACUAACUACUGCGAAAGCAUUUGCCAAGGAUGUUUUCAUUA
RNAcentral lists this ribosomal RNA (401 nucleotides) under uncultured Paraglomus. RNAcentral describes it as "SSU rRNA". It matches the Rfam family "Eukaryotic small subunit ribosomal RNA", at positions 569 to 975 of the family's 1831-position model. Lineage: Eukaryota; Fungi; Glomeromycota; Glomeromycetes; Paraglomerales; Paraglomeraceae. The record is from RNAcentral.